AGGAUGAACGCUGGCGGCGUGCCUAAUACAUGCAAGUCGAGCGGUAAGGCCCCUUCGGGGGUACACGAGCGGCGGACGGCUGAGUAACACGUAGGAACGUACCCCAAACUGAGGGAUAAGCACCAGAAAUGGUGUCUAAUACCGCAUGUGAUCUUCGGAUUAAAGCUUCGGCGGUUUGGGAACGGCCUGCGCAUGAUUAGCUUGUUGGUGAGGUAAUAGCUCACCAAGGCGACGAUCAUUAGCUGGUCUGAGAGGAUGAUCAGCCAGACUGGGACUGAGAACGGCCCAGACUCCUACGGGAGGCAGCAGUAGGGAAUUUUCCACAAUGGGCGAAA
Molecule: ribosomal RNA, 335 nt
Filed under: uncultured bacterium
Lineage: Bacteria
Description: SSU rRNA
Rfam family: Bacterial small subunit ribosomal RNA
Source: RNAcentral